UGCAUCUUGUUCAGACCAGGCUGCUC
RNAcentral lists this non-coding RNA (26 nucleotides) under Macaca fascicularis (crab-eating macaque). Lineage: Eukaryota; Metazoa; Chordata; Mammalia; Primates; Cercopithecidae. RNAcentral also lists the same sequence under 1 other name. The record is from RNAcentral.